Amblyraja radiata (thorny skate) is the source of this 814-nucleotide long non-coding RNA. RefSeq lists it as uncharacterized. NCBI's taxonomy places the organism in Eukaryota, Metazoa, Chordata, Chondrichthyes, Rajiformes, Rajidae. The record is from RefSeq and is a predicted model, not a curated record. The transcript is spliced from 2 exons.
UGUGAUAGAGAGAGAGGGGAGAGGGGGAGACGCGGUCAUUUAAAGUGGAGCUGCAGAAGCAGAUCUGGUGUUCAGCAAAUCGGCCAGAAGCGAGAACCGGUACACAGGAGCGAUCUACGUCUUGCUGAUACCAUGCACCGACUCGCAUAGGCGAUGCCCCAAUUUACAUUUGCCUGCUUCUGUGGACUCCAUGGCCUCUGCAAUUCUAAGGAAAAGAAGGAAAAGCAUGGAUCGGAACGGGAAACAUCUGUGUAGAAAUGGACUCAGGAUUAUGGUAUACUCAGCCUGGCCCCGCCGUGCACAGUGGGGCAACUGUAUCUCUUGGAAUCCAACGUGAUGCUCUUACCCCAAAAUUAUAAAGGGGGUAUGAGUUUGUCAAAUGCAGUCCAUUGAGAGAAAUACCUUUGUCCUGCAGACCAAUUGGAGGGUGCAAUGAAUGUCUAUUUUGCAUUCGCUACCUCUGGAAAAUGGGUCAAGCUACAAGUUAUAUCAUGAGCACAUGAUUUACAAAGCUCCACAAAAAGGAACACCACAAAUCUUGUUCAAAAUAGUGUUAUCAUAUUCUCUCAUCCUACUCAUUCAUGUAUUCAUGAGUGGCAAUGCAAGAUAUCCAAAAUGUUUUGCGUAGGAUACGGACUAUGCUAAACUUUCACUUAAAUACCUUAAAUACCUUUUAGUAUUUUUGGAUGAGGAGGUGGUUGAGAGCUUGGAGAAAUAAGAUUAUGUUGCUGCUUUUGUGAUUCAGUGGUCUGGGUUAAAGAUCUGAACAUGUCAGAAGGACUUGGAAAAUAUAUACUUGGGUAAUUAAAUAAAA